AUACGGAGGGUGCAAGCGUUGUUCGGAAUUAUUGGGCGUAAAGCGAGCGCAGGCGGUUUUUUAAGUCUGAUGUGGAAGCCCUUGGCUCAACCAAGGAAGUGCAUCGGAAACUGGAGAACUUGAGUGCAGAAGAGGACAGUGGAACUCCAUGUGUAGCGGUGAAAUGCGUAGAUAUAUGGAAGAACACCAGUGGCGAAGGCGGCUGUCUGGUCUGUAACUGACGUUGAGGCUCGAAAGCAUGGGUAGCGAACAGGAUUAGAUACCCUGGUAGUCCAUGCCGUAAACGAUGAAUGCUAGGUGUUGGAGGGUUUCCGCCCUUCAGUGCCGCAGCUAACGCAUUAAGCAUUCCGCCUGGGGAGUACGACCGCAAGGUUGAA
This 377-nucleotide ribosomal RNA is filed under the name uncultured bacterium. RNAcentral's name for it is "bacterial SSU rRNA". It matches the Rfam family "Bacterial small subunit ribosomal RNA", at positions 523 to 898 of the family's 1533-position model. The record is from RNAcentral.